Molecule: ribosomal RNA, 484 nt
Filed under: uncultured bacterium
Lineage: Bacteria
Description: partial 16S ribosomal RNA
Rfam family: Bacterial small subunit ribosomal RNA
Source: RNAcentral
AUUGAACGCUGGCGGCAUGCUUUACACAUGCAAGUCGAACGGCAGCGCGGGCUUCGGCCUUGCGGCGAGUGGCGAACGGGUGAGUAAUGCAUCGGAACGUGCCCGGUAGUGGGGGAUAGCGUGCGGAAAGGGGGGUUAAUACCGCAUACGACCUGAGGGUGAAAGCGGGGGACCUACGGGCCUCGCGCUAUUAGAUGGGCCGAGGUCGGAUUAGCUAGUUGGUGGGGUAAAGGCUUACCAAGGCGACGAUCCGUAGCUGGUCUGAGAGGACGACCAGCCACACUGGGACUGAGACACGGUCCAGACUCCUACGGGAGGCAGCAGUGGGGAAUUUUGGACAAUGGGGGCAAGCCUGAUCCAGCCAUGCCGCGUGCGUGAAGAAGGUCUUCGGAUUGUAAAGCGCUUUUGUUCGGGAAGAAAUCCUCUGGGCUAAUACCCCGCGGGGAUGACGGUACCAAAAGAAUAAGCACCGGCUAACUACGUG